CAAAGUCUCACGUAUGCGGCUGCCUUUUCUCAUCUGAAAGAAACUUCAACCUUUCUUCUUCUUUAAUUCCCGAUAUCUGCAUCUAUUUAUACACAAACUCAUUCCAAAAACUCUCAUUCAUCCAUUCAUUCUUCUCAUUUCUCUAACUCCUUUCUGUUUUACUUUUACAUCUUCUUUAUUAAAUAUUAUUAUUAUAUUAUUCUCAUUCUUCUGGGAAUUUUAAUCGAAAAUGAUGAUGAGAUUAGAUGUUCUACCAGUUAUCGGUUUCAUGGUUAUGGCGAUUCUUCAACUUCAACUUACUCAAGCCCAAAACUUUGCUCCUUCACCAACUCCAAAUCCUUCAAAUGAUGGGGCAGCAAUUGAUCAAGGGAUAGCUUAUCUGCUUCUACUCGUAGCAUUGGCAAUCACAUAUCUUGUACAUUAAUAGUAAUACAUUUAUUUUUAUUCAAUAUUAGUUAAAAUUCUUUUAUUAUUAUAAUCCAUGAUUUAUGAUUGAUGAA
Long non-coding RNA from Lactuca sativa (garden lettuce), 500 nucleotides. RefSeq lists it as uncharacterized. NCBI's taxonomy places the organism in Eukaryota, Viridiplantae, Streptophyta, Magnoliopsida, Asterales, Asteraceae. The record is from RefSeq and is a predicted model, not a curated record.